GCCUGGCUGGCUCAGUUGGUAGAGCAUGUGGCUCUUGAUCUCAGGGUCAUGAGCUUGAGCCUCCUGUUGGGUG
RNAcentral lists this transfer RNA (73 nucleotides) under Felis catus (domestic cat). It matches the Rfam family "tRNA". Rfam says of the family: Transfer RNA (tRNA) molecules are approximately 80 nucleotides in length. Their secondary structure includes four short double-helical elements and three loops (D, anti-codon, and T loops). RNAcentral also lists the same sequence under 1 other name. Lineage: Eukaryota; Metazoa; Chordata; Mammalia; Carnivora; Felidae. The record is from Rfam by way of RNAcentral.